RNAcentral lists this ribosomal RNA (448 nucleotides) under uncultured bacterium. Its description in RNAcentral is "bacterial SSU rRNA". It matches the Rfam family "Bacterial small subunit ribosomal RNA", at positions 355 to 825 of the family's 1533-position model. The record is from RNAcentral.
UGAGGAAUAUUGCACAAUGGGCGCAAGCCUGAUGCAGCGACGCCGCGUGGGUGAUGAAGGUCUUCGGAUCGUAAAGCCCUUUUCUGCGUGACGAGACAGGACGGUAGCGCAGGAAUAAGUCUCGGCUAACUACGUGCCAGCAGCCGCGGUAAAACGUAGGAGACAAACGUUAUCCGGAGUUACUGGGCGUAAAGGGCGUGUAGGCGGUAUGUUAAGUCUGGCGUGAAAGCUCUCGGCUAAACCGGGAGAGGUCGUUGGAUACUGGCAAACUAGAGGAUGGUAGAGGCGUGUGGAAUUCCGGGUGUAGUGGUGAAAUGCGUAGAGAUCCGGAGGAACACCAGUGGCGAAGGCGACACGCUGGGCCAUACCUGACGCUAAAGCGCGACAGCAUGGGGAGCAAACGGGAUUAGAUACCCAUGUAGUCCCUGAGCGGGCUGGCAAGGCGCAU